Molecule: long non-coding RNA, 488 nt
Filed under: Salvia miltiorrhiza (redroot sage)
Lineage: Eukaryota; Viridiplantae; Streptophyta; Magnoliopsida; Lamiales; Lamiaceae
Description: long non-coding RNA (SMIL_LNC008774)
Source: RNAcentral
UUUUUUUUUUUUCCACUUCUGCAUAAAUAUUCUUCUUCCUUCCAUCAACACAUCAAAAAUUCAAACAAAUAAAAUCCUUAAUAUCAUUCCCUUCAUCAGCAUCGCUUCUUCCCCUAAUAUUACAGAGCCACUUAUUUUUUUUCUCAUUUCUUCUUCCUUAAGUUCGUUCGCCCUUACUCCCAAAUCCGUCGUUGCGGCUCAAUUCGGUACUUAUAGACGCGACUCAACAUAGCAAGUUGAAAGGCAGAGAAAUAAAAUCAAAGCUUCAAACUUCUACUUCUCUUUUAUCAGUGAAAGCCAAGUUCUUGAAAUUGUUCGAGGUCUUUCUAGAAAGAAAAAAAAAAAUUGCUGCUUCUUCUUUCUCAUCUUUUUCUUCUCUAGUUGUCGUCGUGGUUUUGGGUUUUGGGUGGUGUUGGUGGUUGCAGUAGCACUGGCAGUGGCGAUAAUGGAAGAAUUUUGUUGGUAAAUUCAAAUGCUCCGAUGAGUAG